This 21-nucleotide non-coding RNA is filed under the name Arabidopsis thaliana (thale cress). Lineage: Eukaryota; Viridiplantae; Streptophyta; Magnoliopsida; Brassicales; Brassicaceae. The record is from RNAcentral.
UGAUGAAGUGUCGACAUUGAC